Molecule: ribosomal RNA, 274 nt
Filed under: uncultured bacterium
Lineage: Bacteria
Description: partial 16S ribosomal RNA
Rfam family: Bacterial small subunit ribosomal RNA
Source: RNAcentral
AUACGGAGGGUGCGAGCGUUAAUCGGAAUUACUGGGCGUAAAGCGUACGUAGGCGGUUGGUUAAGUUGGAUGUGAAAGCCCCGGGCUUAACCUGGGAACUGCAUUUAAAACUGGCGAACUAGAGUUGAGUAGAGGGGAGUGGAAUUUCAGGUGUAGCGGUGAAAUGCGUAGAGAUCUGAAGGAACACCAGUGGCGAAGGCGACUCCCUGGACUCGAACUGACGCUGAGGUACGAAAGCGUGGGUAGCAAACGGGAUUAGAAACCCCGGUAGUCC